This is an RNA transcript of Trifolium pratense (red clover), 2267 nucleotides long. RefSeq lists it as uncharacterized. NCBI's taxonomy places the organism in Eukaryota, Viridiplantae, Streptophyta, Magnoliopsida, Fabales, Fabaceae. The record is from RefSeq and is a predicted model, not a curated record. The transcript is spliced from 5 exons.
UUUUUCAUCAUAUGGUAUAUUAAUAAAUUGGGAAUUAGGUAUGUGUUUUUCAUCAUAUGAGAUGUAAUAGAAGAAUACUAUUUCCGUUUGAUUAUGUAGUUUUUCCAAUUUUGUGUUUGAUCUGUUGUGUGUAUAGGAAACAAGGAUCGAAAAUUAAACUAGUUGCUUGAAAAUUCCUUCUUGAAAAUACAGGUUUAAGUUUAAGUUUGUGAAAUGCUAAAGUGGGAAGAAGAGUUUUUAUUAAUGACUGUGAGAUUUUUUUCAAGGUGGAAGUUGAAGCACUUGUAAUUCAAGGUCCGAAACUUGCCAAUGCAAUGAGCCAAGUUAAGAAAUUGGAGGUCUCUAUCUUGGUACUAGGCCAAAAGAAGCCAUCUUCUUUCUUUAGCUGCAGCUGCAGCAACACAGAAGAGUUUGUGGAGUAUUGUAUUAAUAAUGCAGAGUGCUUGACAAUAGGAGUAAGGAAGAGAAGCAAGGGCAAUAAUGGCUACCUAAUCAGCACCAGGUGGCAACAAAACUUUUGGUUUUUGGCUUAGAUUAUAGUUAUCUACUAGCUAGUACUUACUAGUUUAGAUCUCAUAAGAGGGGUUAACUGUGGAAAUAAAUUAACUUUGAUAUUUGUAUUCUCAUCUAGUAUCUAGUAUAAUCUAUCACACCAUGUAACUAAUUAAUUCUAACUAUAUAUCCUACUUUUACUAAUGUAAUAAGUCUUGUGAUUUUAGGCACUAUGGUAAUUGUCACCUCAACUACAUGUUUGAAAAUCACCAACUUGGCCAGUCUUGUGAUGUGAGCAAUUUUUUCAUUAUAUUUUUGGGUAGAUAACUCUGGUGUAGGAUCUAGAACUAAAAAGUCAUUGUAGGCUUGUAGCACAUUAGUAAUUGUACUAUAAAUCUGAUAAAUAAGUAACUUGCAUCCACUUAAUGCCAACACUAUAUAUUAGUUGCAAAUCACAUGCAUUUGAAACUGCAAAUCACAUCCACUUAAUGCCAACACUAUAUAUUAGCUGAAAAGGAAGACAUAUCGUAUCCUAAAUUUUCCUGCCACAGGUACAUUAUUGUCGAACAAGGUCUUGUUAAGGAUCCUGUAUUUUCAUUUUGGCUAAAUCGUGAUCCGAAAGCAGAGGAAGGUGGCGAGCUUGUUUUCGGUGGUGUCGAACCUGCUCACUUCAAGGGCAAACACUGGAAUUCCGGUGACAAGGAAAAGAUAUUGGCAGGUUUGGCAGGCUGUCAACAUGUUUGUUCUUUAUGCUAUGCUUAUAAUGCAUUUUUAAUAAUAUACUUGUGAUGGAAAACCCAAUGGUAAAUACUUGUUUGUUUCUUCUAUUACAUGACAAUAGCACUUUGCUAGAUGCUCCAUGAUACUAGUUUGUGACUGUUAUUCAGUUCUGUUUCAGUUAGUAAGACUUAGGGAAUCUGUCAUUCAGUUCAGUUAGUAAGAUAUGACUUGAAUAUGGAGAAGUGCAUGAUUUUUUAUGUUCUAUUGAUUUUACAUGUGCAGGGAUAAAAAAAGUGUUGACUUCAAAAAACUUUAUGCUCAUGUUCACCAGUUUAAGGAUAGCAGUGCAAAGGUCUAAUUUUCGGACAGAGUGGAAGCGGAAAAACAACUCUCUUGCAGUUCCUUGCAGGAAUAAGAAACCAACAUCUGGAUCCAUUCACAUAUAUUUUUUUGGGGAUGAUGGGAAUUCUAGUCAAUCUACAAAGCCGUUGGUGCCGAAAAGGGUUGGUAUUGUCUUCCAGUUUUCAGAGAGGUACAAAUAUAAACUAAUAAAAUAUGGUAAUAGGUUUUGUUAUUUCAUAACUUGCAUUUUGUUUUAAUCUUGUGUUGUAAAUAUUGAGCUAUAAUGCUAUAGACAUCUACUACAUUGUUUCAAUUUCACUCUAGGAAUUGCUACAGAUUAAAUGUGGCUCAGCCCAAGAAGAACAGACCUAGAAAAGUUCACAAUGAACCAACAUUUCAGGCUUACCACAUCUUGUAAUUUAUAUUUCUUUUGUGGAUACUAAUUGCAGCUUGAGUAGGAAAUAGUGGCAACUGGUGGCUCAAUCCCUAUGAUGGAAUGGAACUGUGUUUCUAAGUGAGUGAAUAUAUAGAGAUAAUACACAUUUCACUUAGAUUAUGCUUAUGUGCCUCUGGGAUUUUGUUUGCUCUCCAUAUGCAAUUGCACUUUACAUCUCAUUGUAUUGUUGGUUUUUUUUGACAGUAUGAUUGUAUUGUUGGUUAAUCAUAGAAGAAAACAUGUAUGAACUCUAGUAUGAGUAUCAUCUUCUUUUAAA